This 800-nucleotide ribosomal RNA is filed under the name Staphylococcus saprophyticus. RNAcentral's name for it is "bacterial SSU rRNA". It matches the Rfam family "Bacterial small subunit ribosomal RNA", at positions 61 to 842 of the family's 1533-position model. Lineage: Bacteria; Bacillati; Bacillota; Bacilli; Caryophanales; Staphylococcaceae. The record is from RNAcentral.
GUCGAGCGAACAGAUAAGGAGCUUGCUCCUUUGACGUUAGCGGCGGACGGGUGAGUAACACGUGGGUAACCUACCUAUAAGACUGGGAUAACUUCGGGAAACCGGAGCUAAUACCGGAUAACAUUUGGAACCGCAUGGUUCUAAAGUGAAAGAUGGUUUUGCUAUCACUUAUAGAUGGACCCGCGCCGUAUUAGCUAGUUGGUAAGGUAACGGCUUACCAAGGCGACGAUACGUAGCCGACCUGAGAGGGUGAUCGGCCACACUGGAACUGAGACACGGUCCAGACUCCUACGGGAGGCAGCAGUAGGGAAUCUUCCGCAAUGGGCGAAAGCCUGACGGAGCAACGCCGCGUGAGUGAUGAAGGGUUUCGGCUCGUAAAACUCUGUUAUUAGGGAAGAACAAAUGUGUAAGUAACUGUGCACGUCUUGACGGUACCUAAUCAGAAAGCCACGGCUAACUACGUGCCAGCAGCCGCGGUAAUACGUAGGUGGCAAGCGUUAUCCGGAAUUAUUGGGCGUAAAGCGCGCGUAGGCGGUUUCUUAAGUCUGAUGUGAAAGCCCACGGCUCAACCGUGGAGGGUCAUUGGAAACUGGGAAACUUGAGUGCAGAAGAGGAAAGUGGAAUUCCAUGUGUAGCGGUGAAAUGCGCAGAGAUAUGGAGGAACACCAGUGGCGAAGGCGACUUUCUGGUCUGUAACUGACGCUGAUGUGCGAAAGCGUGGGGAUCAAACAGGAUUAGAUACCCUGGUAGUCCACGCCGUAAACGAUGAGUGCUAAGUGUUAGGGGGUUUCCGCCCCUUA